RNAcentral lists this transfer RNA (71 nucleotides) under Marmota monax (woodchuck). RNAcentral's name for it is "tRNA.Ala". The stretch from base 6 to 66 matches the Rfam family "tRNA", at positions 6 to 65 of the family's 71-position model. Rfam says of the family: Transfer RNA (tRNA) molecules are approximately 80 nucleotides in length. Lineage: Eukaryota; Metazoa; Chordata; Mammalia; Rodentia; Sciuridae. The record is from RNAcentral.
GGGGUUGUAGCUCAGUGGUAGAGCGCUCGCCUAGCAAGUGUGAGGCCCUGGGUUCGAACCCCAGCACUACA